This is a small nuclear RNA of Acomys russatus (golden spiny mouse), 109 nucleotides long. The record is from RefSeq and is a predicted model, not a curated record. NCBI's taxonomy places the organism in Eukaryota, Metazoa, Chordata, Mammalia, Rodentia, Muridae.
GUGCUCACCUCAGUGGCACAUAUGCUAAAAUUGGAACAGUAGAGAGAAGAUUAGCAUGUGGCCCCUGAGCAAGGAUGACACACAAGUUCGUGAAGCAUUCCAUAUCUUU